Long non-coding RNA from Myxocyprinus asiaticus (Chinese sucker), 621 nucleotides. RefSeq lists it as uncharacterized. The transcript has 3 exons. Lineage: Eukaryota; Metazoa; Chordata; Actinopteri; Cypriniformes; Catostomidae. The record is from RefSeq and is a predicted model, not a curated record.
CCAAGAGCAGAAUAAAUAAGAUCUAUUUGCUUCUCCCACUCACUACUUUCAGAACGGAUCAGCACUUAAUUUCUGAAAAGCAUCUCUACAUCACUACAAUCAACGACAGACAUAAUGGCUUCUAUCCAAGUGAAGAUGCUUGUCUUGAUCUGCCUGCUUCAUCUGUGUAUUGAAUGCACUGAGGGGGGUGGUUUUUUUUCUAAAUUAAAGAAACCUAAAAAACUCUUCAAAGGGAAAUCCUCAAGUAAGACUGCUGUCAAGCCUGCUGCCCCACCUGCUGCUCCGCCUGCUGCCCCGCCUGCUGCCCCGCCUACUGAGCCACCUGCUGCUCCGCCUGCUGAAAGCAAUGCUGUUGCCCCAGGAGAAUAAAGCCUUAAUAAAUCCUUCAGCAAGGAGGAUGCAGAGCAUGUUUAAAAUGUCAUCACUGAUUGAAACAUAUAUGUACUCUGCACAAAGUCAUGGAACUACUGUAUUAACCCAAUCGUCCAAAUUGCUGUUUCGAUGCAACUGUUUAAUUUGAAAGUUUUUGUCAAUAAUCAAACUGCAAUAUACGUAUGUUAAAAUAAUGUUUUUUUUCACUGCAAAUCUUGCUGUCUCAAUAAAACGGGCUACUCAAAUGUG